GUCGAGCGAACAGAUGAGGAGCUUGCUCCUCUGACGUUAGCGGCGGACGGGUGAGUAACACGUGGAUAACCUACCUAUAAGACUGGGAUAACUUCGGGAAACCGGAGCUAAUACCGGAUAAUAUAUUGAACCGCAUGGUUCAAUAGUGAAAGACGGUUUUGCUGUCACUUAUAGAUGGAUCCGCGCCGCAUUAGCUAGUUGGUAAGGUAACGGCUUACCAAGGCAACGAUGCGUAGCCGACCUGAGAGGGUGAUCGGCCACACUGGAACUGAGACACGGUCCAGACUCCUACGGGAGGCAGCAGUAGGGAAUCUUCCGCAAUGGGCGAAAGCCUGACGGAGCAACGCCGCGUGAGUGAUGAAGGUCUUCGGAUCGUAAAACUCUGUUAUUAGGGAAGAACAAAUGUGUAAGUAACUAUGCACGUCUUGACGGUACCUAAUCAGAAAGCCACGGCUAACUACGUGCCAGCAGCCGCGGUAAUACGUAGGUGGCAAGCGUUAUCCGGAAUUAUUGGGCGUAAAGCGCGCGUAGGCGGUUUUUUAAGCCUGAUGUGAAAGCCCACGGCUCAACCGUGGAGGGUCAUUGGAAACUGGAAAACUUGAGUGCAGAAGAGGAAAGUGGAAUUCCAUGUGUAGCGGUGAAAUGCGCAGAGAUAUGGAGGAACACCAGUGGCGAAG
RNAcentral lists this ribosomal RNA (677 nucleotides) under uncultured Staphylococcus sp. Its description in RNAcentral is "bacterial SSU rRNA". It matches the Rfam family "Bacterial small subunit ribosomal RNA", at positions 61 to 720 of the family's 1533-position model. The record is from RNAcentral. Lineage: Bacteria; Bacillati; Bacillota; Bacilli; Caryophanales; Staphylococcaceae.